UACGAAGGGGGCUAGCGUUGCUCGGAUUGACUGGGCGUAAAGGGCGCGUAGGCGGUUUGUACAGUCAGACGUGAAAUUCCUGGGCUCAACCUGGGGGCUGCGUUUGAUACGUAUGGACUUGAGUUCGGAAGAGGGUCGUGGAAUUCCCAGUGUAGAGGUGAAAAUUCGUAGAUAUUGGGAAGAACACCGGUGGCGAAGGCGGCGACCUGGUCCGAUACUGACGCUGAGGAGCGAAAGCGUGGGGAGCGAACAGG
This 254-nucleotide ribosomal RNA is filed under the name uncultured bacterium. RNAcentral's name for it is "partial 16S ribosomal RNA". It matches the Rfam family "Bacterial small subunit ribosomal RNA", at positions 524 to 776 of the family's 1533-position model. The record is from RNAcentral.